RNAcentral lists this ribosomal RNA (801 nucleotides) under uncultured bacterium. Its description in RNAcentral is "bacterial SSU rRNA". It matches the Rfam family "Bacterial small subunit ribosomal RNA", at positions 78 to 898 of the family's 1533-position model. The record is from RNAcentral.
CUAUAAUUGUCAGCUAAGUGGCGCACGGGUGAGUAAUGUAUAGAUAACCUGCCCUUAAGAAAGGAAUAACAGUUGGAAACGACUGCUAAUGCCCUAUAUGCCUUUAAUACAUAAGUAUGCAAGGGAAACGCUUUAGUGCUUAAGGAUGGGUCUGUAUGGUAUCAGCUUGUUGGUGAGGUAAUGGCUCACCAAGGCUAUGACGCCUAACUGGUUUGAGAGGAUGAUCAGUCACACUGGAACUGAGACACGGUCCAGACUCCUACGGGAGGCAGCAGUGGGGAAUAUUGCACAAUGGACGAAAGUCUGAUGCAGCAACGCCGCGUGGAGGAUGACACAUUUAGGUGCGUAAACUCCUUUUAUAUAGGAAGAUAAUGACGGUACUAUAUGAAUAAGCACCGGCUAACUCCGUGCCAGCAGCCGCGGUAAUACGGAGGGUGCAAGCGUUACUCGGAAUCACUGGGCGUAAAGAGCGUGUAGGCGGGUAUAUAAGUCAGAAGUGAAAUCCAAUAGCUCAACUAUUGAACUGCUUUUGAAACUGUAUACCUAGAAUGUGGGAGAGGCAGAUGGAAUUUCUGGUGUAGGGGUAAAAUCCGUAGAGAUCAGAAGGAAUACCGAUUGCGAAGGCGAUCUACUGGAACAUUAUUGACGCUGAGACGCGAAAGCGUGGGGAGCAAACAGGAUUAGAUACCCUGGUAGUCCACGCCCUAAACGAUGUACACUAGUUGUUGUGAGGCUCGACCUUGCAGUAAUGCAGUUAACACAUUAAGUGUACCGCCUGGGGAGUACGGUCGCAAGAUUAAA